RNAcentral lists this long non-coding RNA (236 nucleotides) under Mytilus galloprovincialis (Mediterranean mussel). Lineage: Eukaryota; Metazoa; Mollusca; Bivalvia; Mytilida; Mytilidae. The record is from RNAcentral.
AUUAUCAGUACAUAAUAAUUUUAUCCAAUAUUUUACCAUUCUGUAUUCUCUCUCUAUACACAUAGGUAUUCUACCCAGUUCACAAUAAACCAUGUUAUUAACAGUACUCUUUUUUACUUUCAGUAUACGUUUCAAAAAAUACAGAUGAACCCUUUCAAUAUCUGGUGACUUAUGAAACCCCCAAAUUUCACAGCCAUAGUUCAAAAUACUUGCAACAUAAGUUUCAAAUAAAGUCA